GACGCCAAUUAUUGGGCUGUACAUUCCUGGGUUGAGCAUUCUCGGGCUGUGCAAGUUUGGUCCGGGGCGAUAAUACGAAGCCACUCUUUUCACAGGGCAAUAAUGUACGACCCUAUAAUUCGCGUCCACUAAUCUGAGUCCCUUGGCUUUCAAUUAUCGGGCUGCGCAUUAUUGGUACGGGUCGAGAAUGCUCGACCCAAUAAUGUACAUCCCAAUAAUUGGAAGCCAAAAACCAGAGACAUUUUUUUUUUUAAGACAGCUGUCAAAAUUAGUAGGGACGUUCUGACAUGAGCUCUUGACAGUUUAAAAAUAAUCGGUUUUUUCUAGUGACAUCUUUCAAUGAUAUUGACAGUGUUGACACUUGUUGGUUUACAUUACGCUUUGUUAUCAUCUUUUUAUUUUUAAUGUAUGGUUUUCAAGAGCUCUAAUACUUGUAAUGUAUGCAUGAAAUCAUAUGGCAAGAGAACCUAAAUCGUUUUGGAACUAUAUGAACUCUAAAAGAAACAGUAGAGACUACAUGAGGGAAAUACAGCAGUAUGUAGAUUAUGAAGAGCACAGAUUGAAUCCAGCAGUGACAUGGGCCAUUUGUUCAAUAGAAUAUCUUGGUUAUAUGGAGAUUGGCUGAGAAAGCAAGGUGUAUGCUACAAGGUGCAGGUUUCUGCAAAAUAUAUAUGGGAGCUGAUACAGGCAGCCAGAAUGAGUCUGCUGGGUCGCCGGCGCCGGACGCGCGACGCGCGCCUCGGGCGUCUGACGUCUUCGUGUCUCUCGCCAGUUGCAGGGGAAGAUGCGAAUAGUUAUAAAGGCGUGCAUGACGUCGCUAAAAAAUGAUAGAUAUAAUACUAAUCUUGUUGCCCGAGGUAUUCCUCAAGUUCACGGGGUAGAUUACAGGUGUAGUGCAUAAUCCUUUACCAUUUUGACGACCACUCUGGCCUAGUAGAUAGUGAUCCUGCUUAUGAAGCCGAUGAUCCUGGGUUCGAAUCUCGCGGUAACGGAAUUUAUUUUAGUGAUGAGUAUACAGAUAUUUGUAGCUGAGUCAUGGAAGUUUUCUAUGUGGGAAUUAUUCAAUUUGUGUAAGAAUAUCCCUUUAAUACUUGUUUAUUUAUUUUUCGUAUUUUCUCGGAAACGUUGCUAUUCGUCAUGCUACUUCAGUCAACCUCAAUACUUAUUGUACUGAAUGACCGAAAAAGCAUGACACGUUCGUACGUUUUCGUGAAAAUACGUUGGUAAAGGAAAUUGCACUACAUUUUUAAAACCUAUUCACCUGUCAGUAAAAUAUGAAAAAGGAAAGUUCAUGAGUUUCAUAAUUUUCUUUCCUCCAACAGCUUCCCAUGGAGCAAAUGUAAACCUUUUGUGCAUGUCAAUAGUUCUCAAAUGGAAUUGGUAUAAGUCAUAAUAUAAUCGUAGAUCAAAAUUAGUACAUUACGAUAUACUCAUAUAAGGAGUGUACCGAAAAAAAACUGUAAACUUCAAAUGAAAAAAAAACUGAUGCAGUUGAGAACAAAUUAAGGUUUUUAGAAUAACUACAAUAAAAAGCGACUAUUAAUUUGGAUAAUUGUCACUUUUUUUUAUUUGUUCUGUAGGAGUGAUAGGCAGCUUGUUCCUAGCGCAUUCAGUGGCAGCUUUUUACGGACCCGUUUUUCAUAUUUGCCUGCAUCACCCCGUCACCUGCUGGAAUUGUUAAUGUUUUUUGGCUGUUUCAUUCUUCUCUUUUAAUACACUUUUGAUUUGAGCCCAAUAAUAGUUGAUAGAACGGCACUGCAGGACGUUUGGAGCUCGUACUCUAUUCUAUGUCAACUGCCAAAUGCGAUUUUUGUAGGAAGGAAAUUGUAUGAUUUUCGAUUUGGCCUAGAAUGAUUAUUAUUCCAAGAUUAAUAAUUCUGGUUUUACGCUGUUCGACUUUACACCGGCAAAUAAAAGAGAUGCCUAAAAAUAUUAAUCAACAUCUCCAGAAAUAAUCAUUUUCUAAAAAUGCAACAUUUUAAAAUAAAUUUAAGAAAGAGAUCAACAUUUAAACACACUUUUAGUGCUUUAUAGGUUUCUAGAACAUAUAAGUCAUUAAGUUACAUUCUUAUUUUGGUAAAAAAAAUAGCAAAAACGUCUCAGAAAAAAUUAAAAUAAUCAUGUCCAAAAAUUGCCAAUUUUUGAGUUACUAAUUUACUCAAACUUUAAAACUGAAAAAAAAAAUACUUAAAAACAUAUUUUUUGUGCUUUUAACCUAGGUAUGAGAUACUUGCAACAUAAUCAUUCUUACUCUGUCAAUAAGAAAUUUAUACCUCUAAUUAAUUUUGAACCUACGAAAGUCUGACAUCUUAUUUUCACAUUUAUAAGCGAAUUUGUUAAUUAAUUGUACUUAAUGUUAAGUUUGUGUUAAAUGUAUUACUGUAAAGUUGUCCAUUAGGUGAAAUAUAUGUAAAAGUCGCUUCUAACAGAAUACGCAAACGUGGAGUCACGGGACAGGCUUAGCCUAGUGUGACCCACAAAAUUUAUGUAAUUUUAUCUGAUUUUUAAAAAUAAAAUUUUACUUUACAAUCUGUACCUGUUAUAUACCUUUUUAGGGUUCCGUAGUCAACUAGGAACCCUUAUAGUAUCGCCAUGUCCGUCUGUCUGUCUGCACCGGAAAGCUACCUAUGUUUUUAUAAUAAUUAUCUGGUGCUUUAUUUCAUGCAUGGUGUGAAAUAAUUUAUUUUAAAUACAGUCAAAUUACGGGCAUCUUACCAGUCUACCAUAGGGCAAAUCUGAAAUGGGUCAAGGUCGGUGCAGUGACAAAAAAAAACAUUUUACCUCCUUUUCUACAUAAUUAGGCGUAGUUCGCUGUCUUUUGUAUGUUUCGAGUUUGCAAUAUUCUUACCCCCGGAGUUACACACAAUGUUUUUCAUCACACUUGCGAAGAAAAAAAACAAAAUUUUAAGCGAAAUAAUUCUUAAAUACGGUGACAUAUCAUACAUUCGUCCGAUUUCUUGGAAGGUGAGGCAUCGAAGGCACAGACCUAUUCGGCAUUCAGCCACGAUUGAAAAUUAAGUAAAAAUAUUUUAAUCGGAUGUUAAAAUAAUCAAAUUAAAUUAAAUUAUAAACGUCAGUAUUUUAAAAGUAAAACUCAUUUAUGCUACUUGGUUUGUAUGAAUAAGUGACAUAAUUAAAGAAAAAAGCUAUAACUCCCUAGGGCUAUAACUCCUCCUUUUUUUCACAAUCCAUAAAUCCCGCGGCAACAAAGUAGGCCUUUGUCCUUCAGCACACCUGCAUGAAAUAAGACCUUUUUCGAGCAAGUGUGAUGAAAAGAUUAUUGUUGAUUUUGGAUUUCAUACAAUGGAAUUAAAAAGACAGCGGCCUACGCCUAAUUAUGUAGAAAAUGAGGAACCAAUGAGAAAUGAUUUUAUUAUAAAUUUGUAUCAAUGUAUGUGUCAUUACAUAAAAUUUACUUAAUAACUAUGUAUUUCAUAUUUAUUAUAAAUAUAUUACAAGGCGUUGUACCUA
This is a long non-coding RNA of Cydia pomonella (codling moth), 3471 nucleotides long. RefSeq lists it as uncharacterized. Lineage: Eukaryota; Metazoa; Arthropoda; Insecta; Lepidoptera; Tortricidae. The transcript has 3 exons. The record is from RefSeq and is a predicted model, not a curated record.